UUUUCCGGUGGCCAUAGUGGAAGGGAAACACCCGGUCCCAUUCCGAACCCGGUCGUUAAGCCUUCCAACGCUGAUGGUACUGCACGAGGGAUCGUGUGGGAGAGUAAGACGCUGCCGGAAU
Molecule: ribosomal RNA, 121 nt
Filed under: Cutibacterium acnes JCM 18916
Lineage: Bacteria; Bacillati; Actinomycetota; Actinomycetes; Propionibacteriales; Propionibacteriaceae
Also listed under: 2 other names
Source: RNAcentral